RNAcentral lists this long non-coding RNA (1285 nucleotides) under Numida meleagris (helmeted guineafowl). RNAcentral's name for it is "lncRNA (ENSNMEG00000006034.1)". The record is from RNAcentral. Lineage: Eukaryota; Metazoa; Chordata; Aves; Galliformes; Numididae.
AUGUGGCAGAAACGGGAGAAAGGCAGUCUUGAGCUUGAUAAAACAGAAGCAAAACCUCUCCAAAAAGUUCAGAGGAAAGAAAACCAGAUGCUGAUCUGUAAUCCUAUCUCCUGUGGAGUUCUGCCUAUUGCUGCUGCUUCCAGCAAAAGCAGAGAUAUCCUGGAACCUUGUAGAAGCUCAAGAACACCUGGCUGGUUCUCAAGGAUAAUCCUCUUCUGGAAUGAUGACUUUCAAGAGUAGAGAACAUACUUCAGUACACCCUAUUCAGCACAACAGAUCUGGGAGUUCCGCAGUUCUGAAGUGGUGAGAAACUGAGUAACUGUUGUAAUGGAGCACUGGAACAACACAAGACAGAACUGUGAUUUCACCUGAAAAAAAGAACCACAAUUCCACCUGGAAAAAAAGAGUAUGUCUUCAUAUGCCUCUUCUGUGAGCUGUGAAAUCCACUCAUAAAUAUGUUCUUUGUAGAGCUUCCAAGCUCUUGCCAUCAAAAUCUGUAUCAUUAAGAUCACACUCCAAAAGGCACUGGGGAGAAGACAUUGCUGGGGCCCUAGCUCUGCAUGCUUUCUCUUCUCUAGGUUUGGAUCUGCAUAUCUUCUCUUGCUCUUCAUAAUCCUUCAGGUUUUGCAUGAUGAAUGAGAAAUACAAAAACAGUGUAACUCAUAAAUGGAGAUCCUCUUCUGCUCAUGGAGUAUCACUGGUUCUUCAUUAUCUAAUUCUAGGUUAUUUUAAAUGUUAUCAAUUUAUUCUGUUAAACUGAUUAAGCUCAAUAGGAGAUUUUGAAGGCCACAAAAUGCACAGAUUGUAAAAGUAAAUCUUUGUGGAAAAUUUGGAGUUAACUGCGGUCCUUCUUUCCGAGUUUUGAAGACACAAACUGAAUACAUGUAUAGUAAAAAUGCGACAGAACACUGAAAAUGUACCAGCUUGAAACUGGUGCACUACAUUUGGAGGAACAGGUCCUUUGUAAUUAAAGGAAUGCGUGCCUUUUGCAUAGUGAUUGUACACAGAUUGAUCAGCAACAAAUACGAAUGUACUAGGUCUGAUCAGAAGCUGCCAAGUGUUAUUUGUUUUUUGACUAAAAAGAGAGGGAAAAACAUUCUUCAAGAUUUUAAAAAAAUUAUUUAUCUUGAAAUUUGUAAAGAUUGUUCAGUGUUCCAUUCAUUUCAGAAGUAAAAUUGCAAAAUCAGAAAUUAUCACAAAAUCGCAGAAUCACAGAAUCAAUCACAGGUGUUGGAAGGGACAUCAAGAGAUCACUGAGUCCAACCCCACUGCUAAAGAAGGUACC